Papaver somniferum (opium poppy) is the source of this 493-nucleotide long non-coding RNA. RefSeq lists it as uncharacterized. The transcript is spliced from 2 exons. The record is from RefSeq and is a predicted model, not a curated record. Lineage: Eukaryota; Viridiplantae; Streptophyta; Magnoliopsida; Ranunculales; Papaveraceae.
GUUAAUUGUUCCUCUUAUCAAAUUUUCGGAUUAUGGCAAAGAUUGCUCUCACUUUCUCUCCUUUCUUCUUUGGUUUACUUUUCCUAGUUUUGAUUGCUUUCAUCUCUCAACAAGGAGGAGGUGUGAGCGGUCAAUCCUGUGCACCUGGAGGUAAUAACAUUUUUGCAGGCAAGCUUACGGCCUAUGGUUGUUACGGUUAUUGUGAAGGUUUUUGUAAAUCAACUGCGAUUCCCAUAGGAUACACGAAGCCGAAUUUGGGUGUUAAAUCAUGGUCGUGCUCUUUUGUUGGUCCCACGUAUUAUUCUACACCUUGGCUUUGCGUGUGCUGUGUUGAUUGAAGAAUGAUCCAAUGAAUUAAUGUCCUGAUGAUUGCGCUGCCACCACCAUGCACCACCGCCAUCACACAAAAUAUCUUCUAUCUUUUUCUCUCAAAUGUAUCCACAAAAUAAGCAAUAAAUGAUUGAAUGAAAAGCCACUGUAUUUAUUAUUUCUA